ACGGCUGCAAACAGAAAUGGCGUAGGCAUCUUGAUCAACAAGAGCCUCAAGUAUGGAGUGGUAGACGUCAGGAGACGUGGGGACCGGAUUAUCCUAGUCAAGCUGGUAGCUGAGGACUUGGUUCUCAAUGUUAUCAGCGCAUAUGCCCCGCAAGUAGGCCACAAUGAGAACACCAAGAGGGAGUUCUGGGAAGGCUUGGAAGACAUGGUUAGGAGUGUACCGAUUGGUGAGAAGCUCUUCAUAGGAGGAGACCUCAAUGGCCACGUGGGUACAUCUAACACAGGUUUUGAAGGGGCGCAUGGGGGCUUUGGCUAUGGCAUCAGGAAUCAAGAAGGAGAAGAUGUCUUAAGCUUUGCUCUAGCCUACAACAUGAUUGUAGCUAACACCCUCUUUAGAAAGAGAGAAUCACAUCUGAUGACUUUUAGUAGUGGCCAACACUCUAGCCAGAUUGAUUUCAUCCUCUCGAGAAGAGAAGAUAGGCGUGCGUGCCUAGACUGUAAGGUGAUACCUGGGGAGAGUGUUGUACCCCAGCAUAAGCUGGUGGUUGCUGACUUCCGCUUUCGGAUUCGUGUCCAGCGGGAUAAGCGUGCCAAGGUCACUAGAACGAAGUGGUGGAAGCUCAAGGGGGAGGCAGCUCAGGUGUUCAAGGAGAGGGUAUUUAAGGAGGGCCCUUGGGAGGAAGGAGGGGAUGCGGACAAUGUGUGGAUGAAGAUGGCGACUUGCAUUCGUAAGGUGGCCUCGGAGGAGUUCGGAGUGUCCAGGGGAAGGAGAAGCGAAGAUAAGGAUACCUGGUGGUGGAAUGAUGAUGUCCAGAAGGCGCUUAAAGAGAAGAAAGAUUGCUUCAGACGCCUAUAC
RNAcentral lists this ribosomal RNA (855 nucleotides) under Triticum aestivum (bread wheat). RNAcentral's name for it is "partial small subunit ribosomal RNA". Lineage: Eukaryota; Viridiplantae; Streptophyta; Magnoliopsida; Poales; Poaceae. The record is from RNAcentral.